RNAcentral lists this non-coding RNA (45 nucleotides) under Schistosoma margrebowiei. Lineage: Eukaryota; Metazoa; Platyhelminthes; Trematoda; Strigeidida; Schistosomatidae. The record is from RNAcentral.
AUCCAGCUGAAGAGUCCUAAAUAGAACGGAAAGUGCAUCCUGAAU